RNAcentral lists this long non-coding RNA (353 nucleotides) under Capsicum annuum. Its description in RNAcentral is "long non-coding RNA (CANN_LNC019408)". Lineage: Eukaryota; Viridiplantae; Streptophyta; Magnoliopsida; Solanales; Solanaceae. The record is from RNAcentral.
GAAAUUGAGUAGAAAAAUAAAUUCUACAAAUUUUCAACCUUAUUCAAUUUAAUAAAAAAUCUGAUCGACGAACUUCCCUAGAGCACCAGCGACGGAAUUCUUCACCAGAAAAUGCUAAAACCAGCGAUCAGAAUCAGUUGCAGCAGUCCACCAUCGCUGUCGUUGCUCCAGCGAUGAAGGUCAGUUGUUCAUGAAAGGAGGAAGAAGAAAGAGGAAUGAGGUUUGUGGAGCGGAGGUUAGUUGUUGUUCAUGGGAGGAGGAAGAAGAAAGAGGAGGAACGGACAGGGGUGGGGGUGAGGGGGCCUGUUUGAAGAAGAAGAAGAAGGAGGAGAAAUCGUGGGAUCGGGUUGGGG